GGGUCUGUGGCUCAGUUAUUAUUAGAGCACACGCUUGAUAAGCGUGGGGUCACAAGUUCAAGUCUUGUCAGACCCACCA
RNAcentral lists this transfer RNA (79 nucleotides) under Acinetobacter baumannii. Its description in RNAcentral is "tRNA-Ile". It matches the Rfam family "tRNA". From Rfam's summary of the family: Transfer RNA (tRNA) molecules are approximately 80 nucleotides in length. The record is from RNAcentral. Lineage: Bacteria; Pseudomonadati; Pseudomonadota; Gammaproteobacteria; Moraxellales; Moraxellaceae.